GCCCGCACAAGCGGUCGAUUAUGUGGUUUAAUUCGAUGCAACGCGAAGAACCUUACCUGGCCUUGACAUAGUAGAGACUUUCCAGAGAUGGAUUGGUACAUCCGGGAAUCUACAUACAGGUGCUGCAUGCCAAGGGUCAGCUCGUGUCGUGAGAUGUUGGGUUAAGUCCCGCAACGAGCGCAACCCUUUUGACUGUUGCCAGCAUUUCGGAUGGGAACUUUAAG
This 224-nucleotide ribosomal RNA is filed under the name uncultured bacterium. RNAcentral describes it as "partial 16S ribosomal RNA". It matches the Rfam family "Bacterial small subunit ribosomal RNA", at positions 919 to 1143 of the family's 1533-position model. The record is from RNAcentral.